This 453-nucleotide ribosomal RNA is filed under the name Seleucus cuneiformis. Its description in RNAcentral is "partial 28S ribosomal RNA". The record is from RNAcentral. Lineage: Eukaryota; Metazoa; Arthropoda; Insecta; Hymenoptera; Ichneumonidae.
CCUGAGAAACCCAAAAGAUCGAAUGGGGAGAUUCAUCGUCAGCGAUCCAGGCACGUGCGCGGUUCGCGAUGCCGGAGGCUUCGGUCUCAUGGCACGCGUCCGCGCAUGGUUUUUUGCCGGGUUUCGUCGGCGUGCACUUCUCCCCUAGUAGGACGUCGCGACCCGUUGGGUGUCGGUCUACGGCCCGGGUGGGCGCCUGUCUAUGUGUUACGCUUCACGGCGUCAUGUGGCAGACCCCCGGUUGUCUGACCAGCUGCUCGGCGGUACUCGCACGGUAUCGAGCCGCAAACAUUCGAACUGCGUCCGGCCCGCUGCAAGCGCGGCCAGUGUUUCCCGGAUGUACGGACCUAGCGCCGUCACCGGGCCUGGCCAGCUGUUGGUUGGCGGUGUCCUGGGACUGGCUCAAAUAAAUUAUGAUACCGGUCGGCGACGCUACUGCUUUGGGUACUUUCA